GGGCAGAGCCAAGCAGGGGCAGGGACUUACUUCACAGAGCCUCAAAGCGACUCCAUCUCUUCCCCCUCACGUCUCCUCCUCGCGUCCCUUCUACAAGAUAGCUUGGCGUUGCUAUUUCAUCUCGUCUCCCGGCUGGUCAGUGCACGAGCAGGGCGGCUGGGGGAGAGUGCUCAGCUCAGGGUCUCGUUCAUGGGGUGGCUGCGGUCGCUCAUGGCGCCCAUCAAGAAGCUCUGGAUUCGCGUGCAUUCCGCGCAGAAGAAGAAGAGAGGGAUCUACAUCCUGUACGAGGACGUCAAGUCGUGCCCGUGUGAGGACGUGCAGAUCCUCUGGUCCAUCCUCGUCGAGUCCCACCCGCCGCCGCCGCUGCGGCUGAAGCAGUGAUCGACCGGCCGGCCGGUCCCUGCCGCCGUCCGUCGAUCGAGCACGGCGCUCCGACGUACCGAUGGCCUCCCGGCGGCAACCGAUCCCGACAUGCUUCGACUGACUGUCGGUGGCUCGUUCUAGUGUACAUAAAGAUGAUCGAGCGAGCGGCAGUUCCGUGUCGCCAUGAUAGUAGAAAAGUAGGUGUUCCCUCGGCCUCUCCCUUGCGAGCCACGGAAAUGGCGUGCAUGGCCGGUGAGCUCCCCUCUCGCUAGCAUCGCAUGUGUCCUUCCCCGACACUGCGAUUCUGCGAAGCAAGUUUUUUUUUUCUUUUUCUCUUCUUUCUUCUUUUCCUUUUUGGAAAAAAAGGGGGAGGCACGUGUAAGGCUCGGUUGGUGGCCCGGGUCAAUGGCCGCGCGUGCCUGUAUUAUCAUCUUGUAAAUACAAGAGAGGAUACGAGAGAGAAGGCUGUAAGCACCAGACACCGGCGAUGAUGGUGUUGAGGGAAAAGAAUUGUGAGUGUGGCAUUGAAAGAUGGCCUGAUUGA
Triticum dicoccoides is the source of this 907-nucleotide long non-coding RNA. RefSeq lists it as uncharacterized. Lineage: Eukaryota; Viridiplantae; Streptophyta; Magnoliopsida; Poales; Poaceae. The record is from RefSeq and is a predicted model, not a curated record. The transcript has 2 exons.